GCUCUUGUAGCUCAGUUGGUUAGAGCACCCGUUUAGUAAGCGGGUGGUCUUGAGUUCAGCUCUCAACAAGAGCA
Transfer RNA from Ipomoea nil (Japanese morning glory), 74 nucleotides. It matches the Rfam family "tRNA". From Rfam's summary of the family: Transfer RNA (tRNA) molecules are approximately 80 nucleotides in length. The record is from Rfam. NCBI's taxonomy places the organism in Eukaryota, Viridiplantae, Streptophyta, Magnoliopsida, Solanales, Convolvulaceae.